CAUUCAAACCUUCCGCUCUCACAAUAACCUAUCAUCGCCCUCCUGUUAGCAGCGUCAGCCAAUCAUCGCAUCAGAAGCAGACCCCUCCCCCUGACCAAUCGCUAGGCUUGUACCUAGUUGGCUCCGCCACGGAGAGAGCCUGCGGUGCACAUUGGCUCUCCCUCUGGCCAAUCACUACAUUUUUCCUGCACUCAAUUGUCUCCGCCCCAGCAACCCCGGGAGAUUUAAAUUGAGUCCCCUUAAUAUUGCCAAUCUUGAGGAACUGUUUUGGAGUCAAGUGUUCGCUUCUCCUUGCUUCUUUCUCUUGGGUUUUGUUACCUUUCGGCUGGAAAUGGAGCUCCUGCCACCGGUGUGACAGUGGUUGGGGCAUGACAGGAGGGUUUCAUGCCUAUAAUCCCAGCACUUAGAAGACUGUAAUCGAAGAGUCGCCGUGAGUUUGAGGACAUCCCGCAGUGAGUCCAGAUCGCCGUGGGCUAGACUGCAGAAGCUGCUUCCCCAGAAAGAAGGUGUGUGAAAUGUCUUUGUCCUCUAGGAUGGAGAUGGUAAGUGUGGGAGUCACCACAGAGCCUUGUCAUGCCAGGUGGGAAGUUGAGACAGAUGAAGUGGUCCUGAGGCGGCGGCAGAAGCAGAUAGACUAUGGCAAGUGCACACCUGGGUACCAGAGCUUUCUGCAGCAGGUCCCCAGGGCACAGCGACAGCCGGGUUUUCACCCUCAAACACCAAACAAAAACAGGAGGUACAGCCGCAGAUCCUGGGAUGCCCAGAUCAGGCAGUGGAGAAGAGCCCUGCAUACCUGGGACCCCCCAAGCCAGCCUCUCCAUGACAGACAGGCUGAAGGGAAGGCAGCAGGGAACUUCCUAAGGCCAGUGGAUACUGCUCCUUUAGAUGAUCUCCUGGAUAACUGGCCCCAGGACCCAGAAUCCUCAGAGAAUUGGGACAGAGGCGAGAAAGAGGCCCAGAUGAAGGAACUGGGCGUGGUGGUACACUCCUGUAAGUUCCAUACUGGGACGGACGGUGAAAGCAAGAGGAGCAGGAGUUUAAUUUAUGUCAUUUAAAGCUGAUUUUUAAUAAACCAUUAAAACCAGAGUUCAUUACAGAAGUUAACAGGAUCAGGAGUUUAAAGCCAACAACCUCAGCUACAUGAGAACUGUUUGCCAAACAAACACAAGACCAGCAAACAAACAACAAAAAAAGCAAAGCAAUCCAAAACGUCCUUGAAAAUAAAGAGAGGCAUAACUAUGGGCAGGCAGCGUUGUACUGUACAGUUGGCCGUCUGAGAUCGUACACACAGGAAACAGUUGGGGCCUUUCAAUUUGCAUACUUGAAGGUUCCUGCUUCCUGCCCUCCCCAGCUCAAAGAUGAACUUCUCCAUCACUAAGUCUGCUGCUGUUUACCUAUCCCAGACAAGGGGGGAUUCAAAGCAUUCACAGCGAACACUUUAUUUUUAGGGAUUUGCUGCUACAACUGUAUAAUAAUGAAAUGACUGGAAUUACUUUUUUUUUAAUUACCACUUUAACCGAUUAAAAAAGAAAUCUAAAACUC
Molecule: non-coding RNA, 1542 nt
Organism: Rattus norvegicus (Norway rat)
Lineage: Eukaryota; Metazoa; Chordata; Mammalia; Rodentia; Muridae
Source: RefSeq, a predicted model, not a curated record